AAACCGGCUCUUUUCAGAGCCACUACAUUUCCAAGAAAGAUUCAG
This is a non-coding RNA of Strongylocentrotus purpuratus (purple sea urchin), 45 nucleotides long. The record is from Rfam. Lineage: Eukaryota; Metazoa; Echinodermata; Echinoidea; Camarodonta; Strongylocentrotidae.